RNAcentral lists this transfer-messenger RNA (387 nucleotides) under Holospora undulata HU1. It matches the Rfam family "Alphaproteobacteria transfer-messenger RNA". From Rfam's summary of the family: Bacterial tmRNA, also known as 10Sa RNA or SsrA, is named for its dual tRNA and mRNA-like properties. Its role is to liberate the mRNA from a stalled ribosome. To accomplish this part of the tmRNA is used as a reading frame that ends in a translation stop signal. The record is from RNAcentral. Lineage: Bacteria; Pseudomonadati; Pseudomonadota; Alphaproteobacteria; Holosporales; Holosporaceae.
AAUAUGCUAGAGUAAAAAAGCCAUUUGGCUAUAACGAUAAACACUAUAGAAAGUAAGCGUUGCGGACCCGGGGGCAGAGCCCGGCGCCUCCACCUUAAAAGAUGGGUAUUCUUUUUAUGUGGGGGCGAAUUAGGAUCGACGUGCGUUGAACUGUAUAGCUUUCGUUCACCAUGGUACCAGUGUUUCGGGCCAAAAACAUAAAUGCGAACUUUAACAACGCAUUUGGCAAAGUAUCCAUAAAGAACGUUGCAAACAGCGGUCUUUCGGGUCGUGUAGGGUAUGCUGUAGCAGCUUAGAGCGCUCCAGUAGACUAACACUAAGUCAGCGGUUUUGGGAGCGCCGGGCAACAAAAAGCUCCCAAGAUUGGGGGAGGAAAAAUGCAAUAUC